RNAcentral lists this ribosomal RNA (503 nucleotides) under uncultured bacterium. RNAcentral describes it as "partial 16S ribosomal RNA". It matches the Rfam family "Bacterial small subunit ribosomal RNA", at positions 30 to 523 of the family's 1533-position model. The record is from RNAcentral.
AUUGAACGCUGGCGGCAGGCUUAACACAUGCAAGUCGAGCGGGGUGAUGGUGCUUGCACUAUCACUUAGCGGCGGACGGGUGAGUAAUGCUUAGGAAUCUGCCUAUUAGUGGGGGACAACAUCUCGAAAGGGAUGCUAAUACCGCAUACGUCCUACGGGAGAAAGCAGGGGAUCACUUGUGACCUUGCGCUAAUAGAUGAGCAUAAGUCGGAUUAGCGAGUUGGUGGGGUAAAGGCCUACCAAGGCGACGAUCUGUAGCGGGUCUGAGAGGAUGAUCCGCCACACUGGGACUGAGACACGGCCCAGACUCCUACGGGAGGCAGCAGUGGGGAAUAUUGGACUAUGGGGGGAACCCUGAUCCAGCCAUGCCGCGUGUGUGAAGAAGGCCUUAUGGUUGUAAAGCACUUUAAGCGAGGAGGAGGCUCUUUUGGUUAAUACCCAAGAUGAGUGGACGUUACUCGCAGAAUAAGCACCGGCUAACUCUGUGCCAGCCGCCGCAGUAA